GCCGGCUUGGUGUAAUCGGCAACACACCUCUUGGGUACGCCUUUAAGAGGAGCUCCAGGUUCGAGUCCUGGCGCUGGCG
This is a non-coding RNA of Aspergillus versicolor CBS 583.65, 79 nucleotides long. NCBI's taxonomy places the organism in Eukaryota, Fungi, Ascomycota, Eurotiomycetes, Eurotiales, Aspergillaceae. The record is from the annotation of a RefSeq genome assembly.